RNAcentral lists this ribosomal RNA (374 nucleotides) under uncultured bacterium. Its description in RNAcentral is "bacterial SSU rRNA". It matches the Rfam family "Bacterial small subunit ribosomal RNA", at positions 362 to 757 of the family's 1533-position model. The record is from RNAcentral.
UUUUGCGCAAUGGGGGAAACCGUGACGCAGCAAUGCCUUGUAAAGGCAUGUAGGCCUUGAGGUAGUAAACCACUUUUAUCGGGGUCGAUAAAGACGGUACCCGAGGAGUAAGCCACGGCUAACUACGUGCCAGCAGCCGCGGUAAUACGUAGGGGCAAGCGUUGUCCGGAUUUACUGGGCGUAAAGCGCACGCAGGCGGUUAAUUAAGUCGAAAGUGAAAUCCCCGGGCUCAACUCGGGAACAGCUUUUGAAACCACUUCACUUGAAGGUGUAAGAGGGAAGUGGAAUUCCGAGUGUAGCGGUGGAAUGCGCAGAUAUGUGGAGGAACACCGAAGGCGAAGCAACCCCCUGGGCCAUCUGACGCUGAUCACGAA